This 428-nucleotide ribosomal RNA is filed under the name Candidatus Pelagibacter sp. RNAcentral's name for it is "bacterial SSU rRNA". It matches the Rfam family "Bacterial small subunit ribosomal RNA", at positions 1093 to 1533 of the family's 1533-position model. The record is from RNAcentral. Lineage: Bacteria; Pseudomonadati; Pseudomonadota; Alphaproteobacteria; Candidatus Pelagibacterales; Candidatus Pelagibacteraceae.
CGAGCGCAACCCUCACUUUUAGUUGCCAUCAUUAAGUUGGGCACUCUGAAAGAACUGCCAGUGAUAAGCUGGAGGAAGGUGGGGAUGACGUCAAGUCCUCAUGGCCCUUACGUGUUGGGCUACACACGUGCUACAAUGGUAUCUACAACAGGAAGCAAGACUGCGAAGUUAAGCAAAUCCCUAAAAGAUACCUCAGUUCGGAUUGCACUCUGCAACUCGAGUGCAUGAAGCUGGAAUUACUAGUAAUCGUGGAUCAGCGUGCCACGGUGAAUGCGUUCCCGGGUCUUGUACACACCGCCCGUCACACCAUGGGAGUUGGUUCUACCUUAAGGCAAGGUUUCAAACCCUUGACCACGGUAUAGUCAGCGACUGGGGUGAAGUCGUAACAAGGUAGCCGUAGGGGAACCUGCGGCUGGAUUACCUCCUUU